GACGAACGCUGGCGGCGUGCUUAACACAUGCAAGUCGGACGCUGAAGCUCAGCUUUUGUUGGGUGGAUGAGUGGCGAACGGGUGAGUAACACGUGAGUAACCUGCCUCCUUCUUUGGGAUAACGCCCGGAAACGGGUGCUAAUACUGGAUAUUCACUGGUCUUCGCAUGGGGGUUGGUGGAAAGGGUUUUUCUGGUGGGGGAUGGGCUCGCGGCCUAUCAGCUUGUUGGUGGGGUGAUGGCCUACCAAGGCUUUGACGGGUAGCCGGCCUGAGAGGGUGACCGGUCACAUUGGGACUGAGAUACGGCCCAGACUCCUACGGGAGGCAGCAGUGGGGAAUAUUGCACAAUGGGCGCAAGCCUGAUGCAGCGACGCCGCGUGAGGGAUGGAGGCCUUCGGGUUGUGAACCUCUUUCGCUCAUGGUCAAGCCGCAACAAUGGUUGUGGUGAGGGUAGUGGGUAAAGAAGCGCCGGCUAACUACGUG
Molecule: ribosomal RNA, 483 nt
Filed under: uncultured bacterium
Lineage: Bacteria
Description: partial 16S ribosomal RNA
Rfam family: Bacterial small subunit ribosomal RNA
Source: RNAcentral